RNAcentral lists this ribosomal RNA (406 nucleotides) under uncultured Flavobacteriaceae bacterium. Its description in RNAcentral is "bacterial SSU rRNA". It matches the Rfam family "Bacterial small subunit ribosomal RNA", at positions 506 to 916 of the family's 1533-position model. The record is from RNAcentral. Lineage: Bacteria; Pseudomonadati; Bacteroidota; Flavobacteriia; Flavobacteriales; Flavobacteriaceae.
UGUCAGCAGCCGCGGUAAUACGGAGGAUCCAAGCGUUAUCCGGAAUCAUUGGGUUUAAAGGGUCCGUAGGCGGCUUAAUAAGUCAGUGGUGAAAGCCCUACGCUUAACGUAGGAACGGCCAUUGAUACUGUUAGGCUUGAAUUAUUAGGAAGUAACUAGAAUAUGUAGUGUAGCGGUGAAAUGCUUAGAGAUUACAUGGAAUACCAAUUGCGAAGGCAGGUUACUACUAAUUGAUUGACGCUGAUGGACGAAAGCGUGGGUAGCGAACAGGAUUAGAUACCCUGGUAGUCCACGCCGUAAACGAUGGAUACUAGCUGUUGGGCGCAAGUUCAGUGGCUAAGCGAAAGUGAUAAGUAUCCCACCCGGGGAGUACGUUCGCAAGAAUGAAACUCAAAGAAAUUGACGG